Camellia sinensis is the source of this 886-nucleotide non-coding RNA. The record is from RefSeq and is a predicted model, not a curated record. Lineage: Eukaryota; Viridiplantae; Streptophyta; Magnoliopsida; Ericales; Theaceae.
UCCUAUUCCAUUUUUUUUUUUUUUUUUGAACUAGUUAUUCCUAUUCCUAACUAAUUCCACACAAUUACAAAAUCAAGCAAGCCACCAAAUUCCCAUCUUAUUUAGACCGACCGAUCCACACUGAAUCCAAGACCCGACCCGCAACUCGCAGUCCCCUCUUUCUUUCUACCGCCGCCAGUGCCAUAGCUGGUCGCCACCCCUGCAGUUCCCUGAACUCAACCGUUCGGAUAUGGUGGGUUUCAGACAACGAUGGGCAGAGGAGGUGGGGCUUCAGAUGACGAUCCAAGGGGUUGAUUUUAGUGGUGAUGGGUGGGUCAGUUUUGGUAGUGAUUUGUUGUUGGAUUUGGAUGAUGGUGGUGGUCGGGUAUUUUGGUGGUGGUGGUGGCGGCAGUGGAUUGCCAGAGUGAAGGGAGAUGAUAAUUGUUGUGGUGGCGGUACUGUGGUUUGGCGGGCGGUGUAAUUGUGGUGGGAAGGCAGGUGAUGGGGGUGAGGCUUGUGGCGAUGUGAUGGUGUGUGGAGGUGAGACCGUGGCGGGAAAAAAUGGUUGAUGAUGGUGGUGUAUCUCAAAUUACUCAAAUGUAGUUUUGCCAAUUAUCAAGGAAGGUCUGAUUUACAGCAACAGUAUGGCCGUGUAUGUCUUGACUAACUUGGUGACCUUCUUGACUCACUUUUGGAAGUUAAAGCUCAAGCAUGCUGUUGCAAUCAUGAACAUUAAAGGUGGAGCGGCAGGUAUCAUUGGCUUAGUGGAGGCCGCUCUCAUAGAUGCUUAUUUUGGCCACGCUGGGAUGUUGCUCAUCACAAGUGUUCUUUACAGCAUUGGAUUGGGGUUGCUAGUAAUGUCUGUUCCUGGUCGAUUCUUUCCAAGGGUGUAAACGUCGUGUCCAGC